Molecule: long non-coding RNA, 1068 nt
Filed under: Theobroma cacao (cacao)
Lineage: Eukaryota; Viridiplantae; Streptophyta; Magnoliopsida; Malvales; Malvaceae
Description: long non-coding RNA (TCAC_LNC001021)
Source: RNAcentral
AGCAUAAGAUUUAAUUUACAGUGACACGUGGGCCCACGAACGACCAAAAGUAUCAAAAGCGGUAAACCUACAGUUUUUGAGGAUGCAAGUCCAACUGUAGCCCUUAACGAAAUGAGCUAUUUACCGACUAUCCUGAGCCUAAAAUGGUGGAAAGGAGGGUGAUGAGAUUAUAUAAUCCUAAUGAGUAAACAAAUACCAUCUAAAAUAUCUAAAGCUGAGUAAAUAGAGACAGAUAAAAUAGAUUAGCAUAAAAAUGAUCCACAGCAUUUCGAACUCAUUUUAAUAAGAAAAAAUAGAUUCAUUUCACCCAAAUAAACAGCGAGUCUUAUGAUUUCCUGAAAAGCUUGGCUCGUGCCAAAAUCAUUCUCAUACUCAGUUAUCAGGGAUACCUUGGCCUGGGGCUAUCCCAACCGAGUCCGUCGAGGUUGUUAAAAAGUCAUGUACGCAUAAAUCAUGUUUUUAUUUUGAAAACAUAGCUGUUCCUUGGCGUUGGCUGAGUUCACCCUCACUGGUGGUUUGGCGUGAAGUGAACUUUAAAGUUGUACCUUGGGAGUUACUCUACGUGCCUCUCCGAUCGAGGUAAGAAUAUAAAGGGAUUCCGUGCCCCUCAAAAAGGCUGGUCCACAGAACCCUCCCACUACAGCAAGCUAAACCCACCAUACAAUAAAAAUUCAACAGCAUGACAUGGCAGUUUUAUCAUUAUCCAGCCUAUCAAGGCAAACAACAGUUUAUACAUUUUCAGCAUAUUUACCAAUUUAACAAUUCAUGCCAAUAUUAUCAUAAGCCAUUCAAUUAGAACCAUAAAUUCACAAUACAUCAAAUGGUCUCCAAUUACUCUAUUUUCAAAUCCAUCAUUCAAUUUCAAGACAAUUUAUAAAAUCAUUUCAUUUAAACACAUUUUGUUUAUAAAACCUAAAAAUUAACCAUUUAAACUCAUUUUUCAUAAAAUCACAAAAUCGGAUAAAAUCCACUUUAGAUAAUUAAGAUGAUAGUAAGGUUACUCACUAUUUCGGGAGUCGAAUUCUGAGUACUCUGAUUCUUGGUCCUCGGGUACUAUCUCUUUACUUU